This 6679-nucleotide long non-coding RNA is filed under the name Lynx pardinus (Iberian lynx). Lineage: Eukaryota; Metazoa; Chordata; Mammalia; Carnivora; Felidae. The record is from RNAcentral.
UUUAAUAUUUUUAUGUAAUAAAAAGUAAAAGUCCUUGUCCAACCAUCCUUGUAGGGCAUCUGCCUGUCUGUCUGUCUCUCACGCCGGUCACUCAAGUUAAUGGGGAAGAAAGAAACAGGGGGGCCCAAGUCUGAGGUUAUAAAUAAUAGAAAAUAAAAGAUCUUCCGUCUCCAGCGGGGGAUAGAUGAGAGGAUGGGAGGGCAAGAUGGGGUGGGGAUGGGCAGGGGCAGAGCAGGAACCCCCCACCCCCGCUGGACCCUGGCCCUGCCCACUUCGAGCCCCGCCCCCCCUUCAAGGUGCUUGGCAGGAAUUCCCCAGCUCCCCCGGGGUAAAGGGGGGUUUGGGGGGCUGGGACUGGUCCGAGCUGCUGGGGGAAGAGACAUAGAUCACUCUUCCCUCCACUCAUGGAGGUCUCAGGUCGCGGCCAGGACAAUCUUCAGUUCCCCGGGGGGUGGAAGGGGAGCUGCUGGGAGGGAUGAGAUUGAACUGGUUGGAGGGGAAAGAGAAGAGAGCAGGAGCAUUAGAACCCAAGCAGCUGUCCCUUCAUCCAAUGCCGUCCAGUGUGGGGUGUGGGGGGAGUGUGUGGGUAGGAGCGGCCUCCUCAAGGUGUCUCAUGGGGCUGUCAGAAGCACAGAUCAAUCGCUGUUUCCCAGUGAGCCAGAGCCCUUACUCGUGUGCCCAGCUCAGCCCCCCACACCCCAGCCUGGCCCUGUCUGCUGCGCUGACCUUACCUCGGCUAAGUCAGGAGACAGUCGGGGUCACUGAGAGCUGGGGAGGCAGUGGGGAGGGGGGCUGCUGGAUCACAACUGAGCGAGGACGGAGGGAAGCAAAGGACAGAGCCAGGAGCAAGCCCCUGGCGGCGGCGACUGUGGCUUCUGCCCACCCUACAUACUUCACAGACAGGUGCAGGUCGGCGGGCGCCCUGUGGGACAGCCCUGCCUCCAAGACCCCUCACUCCCCUCCCAGAACCCGUGCAUCCUGCCCCACCUGCAGCCCAUCAGCUCUUCCAUGCCAAAUUCCCCCAGCUAACGAGAACUCACGAAUCCUGUCAUCGGCUCCUCCUGGAAAUCCAGGCGCCUGGCCAGGCUGCUCACCUUGGGGGUGUCCGAUGUAGGGGUAGGGUGAGGGUGUGGAAGCUGAGAGUGCAGGCACCCCACUCUGGGGCACUGCGCCUUGGGGGGGGCCCCCAUGGCUCUGGGGUGGGUGCAGCAGCAUCACCUGGGGCGGGUGGGGAGCCCCAGGGUGAGGGGGCGGGGCUGCUGUGAUUCCAGUUUGGACAUGGGCCUGCAGAAAACAACAAAAAAUCCCAGCUGGGAGCACCCCAGAAGCUACACACAGGCUCCGAGAAGCCUGGCGUUCAGACCACUGAGGAAAGGGGCAGCAGGAUAGCCCCAGGACCCGGGUCCUGAUGGCAAAACAGACCCAUAGAAAGCAAGUCCCUUGGGCUCUUACCUGGGUAACAUGGGCCAUGUUGGUGAAGCCGUGGGGCAGCUGCUGGUGGGCAUGGAUGGCAUACACAGCGGCUGGCUGGGGGAAGCUGCUCUGAGGGGACUGGGCAGAAGGUCCCGGUGGCAGAGAAGGCGGCGUGCCUGUCAGGGCCCCUGGGUGGUACAGAUUCUGCUGUGGCUGUCCACUGCCCAGGUGUGGGGCCUGCCCCGCCUGGUGCUGUUAGGGGGAGGGGAAGGGUGAGUGCCACCCCACUCCUCGGGUACCAGGCCUACCCCCCCCACCGACUCCCGACCCUGCCCGAAGGGAAUGAGCCCCUAGCUCCAUCCCCCUCCUCCAGCCGCCCACUCCUGCCCCAACCACUCGGAUCCCCCAUGGCAGGCACCUGGACGGGACUGGGGGCCGCAUGCUGGGACUGCGGCUGGCUCCCAGUAGGCGUGGUGGCCGGCUGCGGCUGGUGGGCAUGGAGCUGCGUAGCAUGGUGUGGAUAGGACUGGUGAACGGUGGCUACAGCAGGAAAGAGGGAAGGGAUCAGCGCCAAGCACACCGGAGAGGGCUAAGGAGCAGUCUUCGGGAAGGGCACAGAACUCACCAUACAGGGCUUGGGGGGUGGGCUGCUCUGCAGAAGGGUACUGAGGGGUGGAGGACGACACAAUGGCCUGGGGAUGGCUCCCCGACGUCAGCAUGCGUGGGUUGCUCUGAAGCAUGGGGGCGAACACCGGCUGGAAGGACAAGAGAGGAGCAGUGGGCAUGUCACGCUGCCCGAUAACCCGUACACGGCACGACUCCGGCUUUGCCGCAACCACCUUGUUUAACGUUCACAAGGGCGCAAGCAAGGAGACGCCGUUUUACCUGCGCUUUAGAGAGUACCAGUGCUUUGCUACGGGUCCUGCUGGAGCCAGGACCGAAACCCGAGUGACCCUCAGCUCUGUACUCCUGUCUCCCUCCCGUGCCUCAGUUACCUGCGAGGGGUAGUGGGCCAUUGGCUGCAUCAUGGCAGGCUGGCCCGGGAACUGCUGCGGGGUGUAGGGGAUGUAGGAAGAGUACGGUGUGGCAGCCACAAGAGGGGGGCCAGCGGCGGCGGCGGCCUGCAUCAUCGGAGGGGCUGAGGCUGGCUGGUGUUGGUCCGAGCGCUGCGGGGGCAGGGAGCCUGGGGAAAGGGAGAGAAUGUCAAGCUUAAGUUCCAUCUGCCAGGAGGCAUCGAGGCAGCACCACCCCCCUGCCGCCGGAGCAGCCCUGCCAACUCUGCUCACCUUUUGCUCCCCGGUACUUGCCCUGCUGUCCAGGCACGGAAUUGGAUACAGGAUAUGGAUACAUCUGAGGUGCCUACGAACAAGGAUACAAAUGAGGCUGAACAGCUUGCUAACAAAUGCCCAGAACAGGCCUGACCCGGUCCUCACCAGCCCAGCCAAGCCUCUUAGCCUAGACUCACUCGGUUUCUCCUCUUACCUGAACAGCUGGUCCCAUGUGGAUCUGAGGUAUGUAGGAAAUGUACUGGGGGCUAUAGAGCCCACUCUGGCCUGCUGUGAGCACCGGGAUGGAAGGAGUUGAGUGAGUCCGGGGCCCCGGAGAAGUCGGGGUACUGGUGGAUUUAUUCUGUAGUAAGACACAACAGAGGAUGCGUGCAUUUUGAUCUCUGUAUGCCCCUCCUGGGCUUAUAACAGUAACGGAGCACUGCACGCCAGAUACACUCUACCCUUCAUCUUGCUUAAGCCUCACGCUGAACCCCCUGAGACGAGUAUUCUCAAAAUACAGGUGAGGAAACAAAAGCCAAAAAGUUAGAUGGUUUGUCAUUCAAGCCAAAAUCAGGGAUCUGAAUGAAACCUAUGUUCAGAACUAGCCCAACACACAUACUCCCUGAGCUAAACCCUAAACACAUAAAAACCUGCCACACAUAUCGUGACCCCUCGCCCCCAACCCUGACACAUUUGCCCUAGAGCAGCCCUACUUUCACAACCUCUCUCCCCAUGCUCUCUCCCCCCACUUCCAAGCCUCCCUCAGAGAAACCAGUCCACCUUCGCCCAUUCCAUCUCACCACAGACAGCAGAGGCUUUGUGGGAUUAAAUUCCUUGGCAUUGGGGUUCAGCGUGGACUUCUUCACUUGUCUGUGACAGAAAAACAAAGUCAAUCUUCACAGUUUGCUCAUCUCCCCCGACACCUGCCCAGCUCCCCAUCCUACUCACUCGGCAACAGGGCCCUCAUCCUUGUCGUCUCCCUUGGUGAGGCCCACCGGGGGGCUGCCAGUCUGGCUUGGGCAAGGUGGCGGGGGCUGCUCUGGCCCCUCGGUGGCUCCUGCCGGUGGCAGGGGUGCUUUGUCCUCCUUAUCCGAUACGGACUCUGUCUUGGAGGAGACUGGGGACCCCAUUGGCUCUGAAGUCAAUAGACCAUCAACCUCCUUCUCUUUNGGGGGGGGGGGGGGCUGCUCUGGCCCCUCGGUGGCUCCUGCCGGUGGCAGGGGUGCUUUGUCCUCCUUAUCCGAUACGGACUCUGUCUUGGAGGAGACUGGGGACCCCAUUGGCUCUGAAGUCAAUAGACCAUCAACCUCCUUCUCUUUCCCUUUGGCCUCCUCCUUUAAGAUCCGGGGAGGAAAAGGAUCCAGGCUGGUCUCAGGGGAGCUACUGGACUGCAGCUGGAAGGAGAAAAGCACACAUACAGUGCCCAGACAGCUGGUCCAGACCCCAGGCGUGGCUUCCUUCCUUCCUUCCUCCUUGCUUGGUCUCAUCUCUUCUAUUCCACCUAGUCCUGUGCCUCUUCUAUAAGCCCCCUCACCCUCCCUCCAUCCUUACACCCUGGCUCACUCCCAUACUCCUCUCACCUUAAACUGGGCCCCAAACUUUCUCAAUUCUUCCAGUUGAAAGCGUUUCUGUUCAUUCUGAAGGCCAGGGACUAUGAAAAACAGUGAAAAAGGAAAAAAUACGCAUUUCUUUUUUCAAGGUGGCUACAAUGCCAGUAGCCCAAAGGACGAAGAAAACAAGAAAAAAAAAAAAAAAGGCUUGAGAGUUCUAUAGAAUUAUGAUCACAUGACUGACAAGCUACUGUUUCCCAAACCCCAACAAAACUCUUGGUACUAACUGAGGUGCUCUCCUAAUUAAAAGGACACUUCAGCGGGGGGUGGGGGUGGAAAUCCUCACCUUUCCCAGCUAUCCGGGACAGCUCCUGGGAUUCCAGAGUUCUCCCAGGUUCCUUGGCUGGAAGUUCUUUUACUGAGCAAGAAGAGACACAUGCCUGAAGGUCCUUCUGUCCAGAACCACACUUCACAUUGUCCACAAGCCCUCAACCAUGUGGCUCUUACCAUCUGUGGGGGCCAAUGAGAUCUUUGGAGAAGCUGGGGAAAUGGAGCCUACUCCAGGAUCCACAACUGACGAUGUCACAGGGAUGGAAGCUGAAGAGGUUGGUACUGCUGAGCCAAUGGGGGGCUCAGGACAGGAAGCCGACUUGGGAGAGCGUGGGGGAUACAUCCGGCCCACUGGAAGAAAAGGGAAAGCUGUACGAUGGUUACUGCUGGUCAGUGCACAAUGGGCAUAGGGAACCUACUAGAAACACCAAAUCAAGUUUAUCUGUUUUUUUUAAAAAUUAUUUGUAAUGUUUGUUUAUUUUUGGAGAGAGAGACAGAGCAUGAGCAGGGGAGGGGCAGUGAGAGUGAGAGAGAGAGAGAGAGAGGCAGAACUGGAUCCGGACUCUGAGCUGUCAGCCCAGAGCUGGAUGAGGGGCUUGAACUCAAGAGCUAGGAGAUCAUGACCUGAGGUGAUGUCAGAUGCUCAACCGACUGAGCCACCCAGGCGCCCCCACCCCUUUUCCUUUAAUAUGCAAGGUCAAACCUAAAUUCCUAGAAGAGCAAGGCAGGUAACCUAAUCAGGUAAAACAGAUUCCUGGGCACCAUAAAAGAUAAGAAUGUUUUACAGGAGCAGACUCACUGUGCAGAACUUUCUGUAUUUCCAAAGAAGUUGAAAAUUUUCUAUUUCUCCUGUCUUAAAAUGCUGACAACUGGGACACCUGGGUGGCUCAGUCAGUUAAGCGGCCAGACUCUUGAUUUUGGCUCAGGUCAUGAUCUCAUGGUUUGUGAGACUGGGCCCCUGAAUUUGGCUCCAUGCUGACAGCUCAGAGUCCGCUUGGGAUAUUUCUCUCUCUCUUUUCUCCCCUCCCCUGAGCAUGCUCUCAUAUUAAACAUUUUAAAAAAUAAGUAAAAUGUUAACUUAAAAGUUUGUUACUGUUGUUUUUUAAAGUAAGCUCUAUGGGGGCGCCUGGGUGGCGCAGUCGGUUAAGCGUCCGACUUCAGCCAGGUCACGAUCUCGCGGUCCGUGAGUUCGAGCCCCGCGUCAGGCUCUGGGCUGAUGGCUCGGAGCCUGGAGCCUGUUUCCGAUUCUGUGUCUCCCUUUCUCUCAGCCCCUCCCCCGUUCAUGCUCUGUCUCUCUCUGUCCCAAAAAUAAAUAAACGUUGAAAAAAAAAAAAAAAUUUAAAGUAAGCUCUAUGCCCAAUGUGGGGCUUGAACUCACAACCCUGAGAUCAAGAGUCACGUGCUCCUCUGAGCCAACCAGUCACCCUGACAACUAAUUUAAACAAAAGACAUCUGACAACCAAACACAAACCAUGGAUUGCUACAUUGGUAUUUCUACGGGAGGGAAACAAAUUUCUUUUCUAAAAAGCAUAAACUCAAAACCCCCAAAACAUCUCUUUCAUCUGGGAACGGUCUCCCAACCCAGCUUUCCAACAACUGACAUUUACAUCCCCCACAAAUUUUUAUUUCUUCAUAUAACACUGCUGAAAUUUUACCUGCAGGAGGAGGUGGAACAGAAGCUUCUCCAGAGGGCCUACUGCUGGGUGAAGACAGAGUCUUGGCACCACCUCUCAGAGGCCGCUGUGCCUUAGGGGACAUGCGGGAAGGGCCUAUUUUUUUUUUUUUUUAAGAUGGGGAAAAAAGAGGCAGAGUAUCUGCUAUUACAUUAUCACCAACGCAUCACCCUUCCAACCCACCUAUCCUUUCAAUUCUCCUUCCCACUUCCUUCCUAUCGGCUUCCCUACCACCGCCCCCUGCCCCCCAAAGCCCGCUUAACUCACCUCCAUUGAUACCACGUGUCUCAGAACCUGGGCUGGGGCUGCUAUUGUCAAGAUGGUGAGGGCCACGAGGUGGCAAAGAGCUAAGGCCAGGGCGGCCACCCCGGGAACUACUGCAUCGAACUCCUCCCCGGGGACCUUCCCGAACUCGUUGGGGUAGAGGGAUAUACUUUCCCUCCCU